CACCCUCUCGCUAACUGUGAAUUAGGCUCCUUCCUUUCAGCCUCGGGACCUAAUCACCCACCUAGGAGAACGCCCCAGUUCCUACAGCCUGUCUGGCUGCAGAAAACCCAGGCAGGACUCAGAGGGGGUGUGGUCAGGACCAAGCCUCCUGCACCCGCCAGAGGCACCGCUCCACCACAGAGGCACUGGGGAGCCCACCUGCUCCUCCAUCCGCGAGCCCUACAAAGAUCCGCCCCUGUCUCUCGGACGCAGGUGGCCCCACGGUGUCGGAAGUUCGCCGGGUGCACAGAAAGGUGGAACUGAAGAGUCCCCAGCGCCUGAGCCUGCCUGAAGCGGCUAAGACUCUGUCAAGAGCUAGAGAAGGAAUUCGACAAAGGACUGCCGGGUAGGGGUUAGGGCGUCACUGGCUCCCGAGAGACUACCGCUCCCCAGCUCAGGAGCCGCCUUCGCGCCUCGAUUCUGCCCAGCUGGAGGCAGAACCCGAACUCCAGCGAGGAGCCCUGGGUAGGGUUCCAGAAGACCGGGCCGAGGCUCAGCGCAGAGACUGACCCCGCCAGCCCAGAGCUCGCUACCAGGGCCCGCCUUAGCCCCAACCCUCGCUCCACCUGUCCCAGCUCGGGCGUCAGCCCGGCUCCAGGACUGACCUUCGCGGGAGAGUGCACCCCAAACGCAGCGCUUCACCCUACAGCACCAACUACAAAAAGUCUGCGAGGCACGCAAGACGCGCAGGCUGCCCUACCUGUCCGGCGACACACAGCAGGCACCAGACUCCAUCAGGAAAAACAAGCUGCACUUCCGAGCGGCAGGAACCUAUGACAGCUGCGUGGGGACGCGGUGAAUGGAGAGCCCCCAUCAUGCACAACCAGCCCAAGGGAUGGGUUCCAAGUGACUAACUUCCUUGCUUGUCUUCCUGUCCGAUGGGUUCCCGAGGGCAAGCUAGGGCGCCCCCUUUUCUGGUCUGGGCCAUGUUCUUACUGCGCUCGGGCAUUUUCUGUAACAGCAUAGGGCCUCGCUGCAGUUCUCUGCAUUGGGACCCAGGUUCAUUGCUUCCUGAAUAUCUGGGGCUUCCAAAGCAUCUUUUUAAAGAAAGUAAAAUCCCACACCCUCCUUCCAACUGUCUUCCAGAACUCUCCACCCCUCUGCACACUUGGCAGGAAAGCUGGAAGAGGCGGGGAGCUGGCCCCACUUCAAUAAACUCCGAACGAUAAGGGGAUCAGCAAGGCGCACAUGAAAUCACUUUUGUGAGGUUCCCACGUGUGCGCAUUGGGAGGAUCCCAGCACAGAAUGAAGGCGCCGCCAUAGUAACCAUUCAUUUAGUGCACAUAUUCCUAUGCUGAAACAUUGUAGGCCCUCAGCACCUGAGAGGGACUCGGAUCCUGCCCAUGUUGACUGGGCAAACGAACCAGACACAAACUGCUGAGAAUUACAGGCAAAGUCAGGGCAGAAGAACCUAUAGGAAGCGAAUGCUACAAACUCCAACAUCAGUGUUUGUGUCCAGAAUGGGUAAAAGAGACUGUUUCUCAGAAAUCAUGUAUAUACUCAUAUACAUUAUCUACUGAGUAUCAAAGAUCAUAAGAAAAAAUCAGAAGUGGAAAACAAAAUCUACCUUUGAGCUUAGUAUAUCAAAGUUUAAAAGGUCAAAAUAUUUUAGAGAUCCUUUUGUGAAGGAGUUUUGGGUUAGGUUUUCAUUUUGAAUUGGUAAAGAGGAAAGGGCAAGACAUCUUGAAAAAUGAACAAACUUACAAAAGAGAACAAAGACCCCAGAGGCUGGGAGCAGGCAAGUGUUCUGUGCUGCUAGGAUGACUGAGCCACACGUUUACCAGAAAAGGUGGAAGCUGGGCUUGGUGGGAAGGUGGUCCCAACAUGUCAUGUGGUAGUCCUGGGCGCAGGUACCUGCAGCACCAGGCUGGAAGGAAAAUGGUACGUGGGUGGCAAGCAGCAGUGCUAGGCAACCUUAAAUUAAACCUUCAAUCAACCCACAAGAUAGGUGUAGAUUAUCCCAACUUGGCAUACAAGACUCCUGAAGCUCAAUAGCUGCACUGCUAGAAUUGGAACCAGGCGCUGGAGCAACAGAAUUUCAGGUCUGGAGGGAAGCUGUAGCCCAACUACAUACUCCCAACCCCCAUUCCCUCAGCAAAUUUGGCUAUCCAGUCCAAAAGCUACACCUUUAUGUGUACAUGGAGAAUAAACUAAGGCCUAGGAAAAUUAAGUGACAUGUCCUAUGUCUCUCUUAAGAGGCAGGUGAACGCCUUCCUACCUCAUAUAGUAGGGAAGAGUGAGUUGCUUCUGUUCCUUGAACAAUGCAGUAACCAGAAAAAAAGUUAAAGCUAAUUCAUAGACAGCCAAUUGAGUAGAAAGUCCAAAAUGAGAGAGAACAGCUAAUGGAGUUCCUGCCAUACCCCAGCCAUCCAAUGAUAAAGGCUCCAUUCCAGGAUUUUCUGACAGGUGGAGAACAAAGUGUUGGGAGAGCCUGGUAGAAGGCAGGCAGGCAGGCGUUGUUUGUUCUCAUACAACAUGAGACAAUGACUCCCUCCUAACCACAUCUCCACACCAGGGACCCAACUCCAGAUCUCUUGGGCUGACACCAGACCCAAAUGUUAGCUAAUAGUCUGGUUUGUUGCUCAUUGUUUGCUUUAAAAUCAGUAAGCUUUUAAACUGUGCCUCAUCGAUUCAUUCAAAGAAUGACUGAAUGAGAAGGAAGAAAGUAUACUCAUUAUCCACUGAAGAUCAAGUUUCCUUGAUUCUGCAUAAAAUGCAGGGUGGAUGCCUUAAAACAGAUGUCUUCAUCUACUUCAUGGAUUAAUAACCUCAUUGUGACACCAGGACAAAGAAAUGUAACAUUACUCUGGUCCUGGAAUCUGCACGAUGGCUCCACUGAUGGCCCUUUGCCUCAGCCCAGUCCCAAUCUUGCCAGAGCCUCUGCACUAGACUGCCAGCCCUACCAUCUGAGAUUGGCAACACAAUAAUGUUUUGACCACCUCAAGCCAGACCCCUUACAGAAUGAUUCUUUUCUUUAAAAAAAAAAAAAAACUAUUUGUUUAUCUAUUUGAAAGGCAGAGUUUCAGACAGAGAGAGGGAGAGACAGAGAGAGAGGUCUUCCAUCCGCUGGUUCACUCCCCAAAAGGCUGCAAUGGCCAGAGCUAUGCCGGUCCAAAGCCAGGAGCCAGGAGCUUCUUCUGGGUCUCCCACACAGGUGCAGGGCCCAAGGACUUGGGCCAUCUUCGACUGCAUUCCCAGACCAUAGCAGAGAGCUAGAUCAGAAAUGCAGCAUCCAGGACUGCAAGCAGUGGCCUACCCGCUAUGCCACAGCACCGGCUCCUAAAGCAUUGUUGUAUUGGGACAUGACAGUACAAGAUUCUCCCUGUUGACCUCAGUAUCCAUUCUUCUCCAUUAUGGCUCAGGCUUUUCCUCAGUCUGUUUUUUCUUCACUUUUCUCCCUAUUCCUUUUUAUUCACCAUCCUUUUCUUUUUCUCAUGUCUACCACUAGGCAAUAACACUUUUUCAAUACCCUAACCUCCCUUGCCCUUUGGUCUUUUCUUCAAAAUGAACACAGUUGCCUUCUUUUUCAUUACCUAUCCUAUGGAGCCAAAACUGCAAGGGAAAGCCACAAAACAGGACAGAUAAGUACCACCACAAUAUUUUCUUCACCAGCCUCAAGUGGAUUCUAACAUUGCCCAUCAGUCUACCUGUUUCUGGGGUCAAUUCAUGCUCAUACCAUCCCACCCUAUGCAAUGAGGAUUUCAAGCCUUCUCCACUUUCCCCAUACCUCCAUUCCUGCUAUCUUUCAACAGACAGGCAAAGCUCUAGAUUUCUUAGAAAGUCAAAUCAGUCAAAUGGGAAUAAUUUCUAUUUUUACUUUUUAUGACCCAGUCUAGUCAUAUCUACAACAAUCACUGACCCCCUUUUUAUUUGCUUUAUAAGAUGAGUCCUUCUAUAGUUUUCUGGAUCUAAUACUUUCUUGAAUUCAACUAGGAAAGAAAUUUACAAUAAUUUUUCUCUGUGCUGUAGAUUCAAUAUUUACUGAUAAGCUAUAUCUGACAGUGCUCAAGCCUCUCAUGCAUAAAUAAACAGAGAUCACCUUUC
Molecule: long non-coding RNA, 4083 nt
Organism: Oryctolagus cuniculus (rabbit)
Lineage: Eukaryota; Metazoa; Chordata; Mammalia; Lagomorpha; Leporidae
Source: RefSeq, a predicted model, not a curated record